AUGAUGGUGCAGCUCCCAGCCACUACUAGAAACUUCAAAGCAGAGCAACUCCACUUGGGGUCCUACUCCUUGCCGGACCGACACAAGCUAUUAAGGAUGCUCGCCACCGAUGGUUUCCGACUAACCAUGUGGCAUCAACUCCCAAGCGGUGAUUGGGCUCUAGAGGCCAUGAUUGACAUGAAGGAGAAAUUAAGGAUGUUGCACCUGGACAUCCCUCCCGACAGUCAUGUGCUUUCCUGA
Molecule: ribosomal RNA, 240 nt
Filed under: Triticum aestivum (bread wheat)
Lineage: Eukaryota; Viridiplantae; Streptophyta; Magnoliopsida; Poales; Poaceae
Description: partial small subunit ribosomal RNA
Source: RNAcentral